GAUGAACGCUGGCGGCGUGCCUAACACAUGCAAGUCGAACGGAACUUUUAUGGAUUGAGACUUCGGUUGAUUGAAGUUUAAGUUUAGUGGCGGACGGGUGAGUAACGCGUGAGUAACCUGCCUUUCACAGGGGGAUAACGUUUGGAAACGAACGCUAAUACCGCAUGACAUAUCGGAGUCGCAUGGCUCCGGUAUCAAAGAUUUUAUCGGUGAAAGAUGGACUCGCGUCCGAUUAGGUAGUUGGUGAGGUAACGGCCCACCAAGCCGACGAUCGGUAGCCGGACUGAGAGGUUGAACGGCCACAUUGGGACUGAGACACGGCCCAGACUCCUACGGGAGGCAGCAGUGGGGAAUAUUGGUCAAUGGACGCAAGUCUGAACCAGCCAUGCCGCGUGCAGGAAGACGGCUCUAUGAGUUGUAAACUGCUUUGUACAAGGGUAAACCUCGGUACGUGUACCGAGCUGAAAGUAUAAUACGAAUAAGGAUACGGCUAACUCCGUGCCAGCAGCCG
RNAcentral lists this ribosomal RNA (511 nucleotides) under uncultured bacterium. Its description in RNAcentral is "bacterial SSU rRNA". It matches the Rfam family "Bacterial small subunit ribosomal RNA", at positions 28 to 517 of the family's 1533-position model. The record is from RNAcentral.